AUCUGUUCUUAUCAGUUUAAUAUCUGAUACGUCCCCUACCCGGGGACCAUAUAUUAAAUUGAUUUUUUGGAUCAGGGAGCCGGAACGGGGGCUUGCUCCUUCCACUCCACGCAUCGACCCGGUAUUGCAUUACCUCCAGGUACGGUGC
This 148-nucleotide small nuclear RNA is filed under the name Lates calcarifer (barramundi perch). Its description in RNAcentral is "U2 spliceosomal RNA (ENSLCAG00010020442.1)". It matches the Rfam family "U2 spliceosomal RNA", at positions 38 to 185 of the family's 192-position model. From Rfam's summary of the family: U2 is a small nuclear RNA (snRNA) component of the spliceosome (involved in pre-mRNA splicing). Complementary binding between U2 snRNA (in an area lying towards the 5' end but 3' to hairpin I) and the branchpoint sequence (BPS) of the intron results the bulging out of an unpaired adenosine, on the BPS, which initiates a nucleophilic attack at the intronic 5' splice site, thus starting the first of two transesterification reactions that mediate splicing. The record is from RNAcentral. Lineage: Eukaryota; Metazoa; Chordata; Actinopteri; Centropomidae.